Long non-coding RNA from Siniperca chuatsi (mandarin fish), 1665 nucleotides. RefSeq lists it as uncharacterized. NCBI's taxonomy places the organism in Eukaryota, Metazoa, Chordata, Actinopteri, Centrarchiformes, Sinipercidae. The transcript is spliced from 3 exons. The record is from RefSeq and is a predicted model, not a curated record.
CUUUGACACAUAAAUACCCAUUUAACAUAAAUAAUACACAUUUUAUGGCCAAACAGAACAGUAAGAAGAAAAGGAUUCUUCCCUUUUCUGAAAACAACUAAAUAAGUAGCAUAAAUAUAGAUGGCAAGCCAAUCAAAUAACAGUCCAAACGACCUGUGUUGAUGUUUGCAAUUAAUCCAUGUCAUUAUGAUCCAAAUGAUUCUGCACUCAGAGUAACUACCAUUGAGGACACUGAGGUCAUGUCCUCGUGUCCAUGGCAAUUUGGGAGUUUACAUUUUACAAUUAAAAGCUCACACGUGGUGGGUGUUUUAACGGCUGAUUCCAGUAUUUUUAAAUUUAUUUAAAUUGGAAAAUGUUUGGACUUAAAAAAGGAAAUAAAUGAUUCAGUACCUCAGAUCUUAUUCCUGGCUGUAUGAAAGCUUUCCAGCAGCAUUCAGACAUUCAUGUUGGGGAAUAAAAUUUACAGAAACUGAACAGAAUAACAGAAUAAACAAAGUAUGAUGAAUCAAAAUAGUUAGAGACCAUUAUAAGUGUCGGGUCCAGAUUUUCUGAUGGGGAUGGGUGGGAUGUUGGGGAGACUUGUUCUCAUGACGGCAGUAUUUAAAAUCUUGGCUGAGACCCUGAUCAAGAUGUACUUAUGUCUGUUAUAAAAGUUGGGUGAACUUCUCUGCAAAAACGGACAAAUGGUAAAUGUAUUUUUGUUCAGUUUAACUUCACCUUACUCUUCUUGAACUUAACUUCAAUCAGCCACUCAGGGUCUUAACUCCACUGUGGCAUUUCAGAAACUUUCAGUUAGAUCUAUUAAUUAGAUCAUUUUACCCACAGAGAGAAACUUGCCAUCUGCCACUAGCGGGUAUGGCGGUUUGAGUGGUUACAGCCUGAUUUCGCUCUUUCUAAUAAUCAAAUUAUGAUUCUGGAUUAAAACAGUUUGACCACAGAUAUUUCAGAUCAGGUCGCUUCAGAAGGAAUUGCUGUGAGGUGUGAGUCAGCGUUGGUGCGCUGUAAAGCUGACAGCCUUCGUGAGGAAGCCAGUGUUGUAUCGACACAAAGCUGUCCGGCGUCCAAGGUUGCCUCCUCUUGUCCUUGUUGUUGUCACAGCAACAGAAAAGGCCUGGAUGUUGGAGAUAUGGGCUGGCGGCCUUUUUCUUUUUUUUGUUGUUGUUACAUUUAGUCCCAUGAUUCUCCACAGCAGCCGUUUAAAUCAGCGGAGGUCACUCAGUUUUCAGGGCAAAAGGAAAUGUGGUGUGAUACUGCAACUCAGCACAUUGCCAAAAACCGGUUUCUCCAGCGCUGCCAUCUGCGGAGGGGAUCCCACAGCGGCCCUCUCCCCUGAGACACCAUGAGAAUACCGUCUCCAAAAAUAGAGGUCUCCUCCUUUCCCUCCAACUCUUCCGCUCUUCCAGGUCCUCACAUCAGUCAGUGUCCGGUCUCGUUCAUACGAAGGACAGAGCAUCCCAGUCUACCUUCGAAUGCUACACGGACUCACCCACUACGCUACGUUGAGAAAACUACCACUUGGAACCCCGAACCCCGGCUCCCGUCUGUCUCCAGUCUCCAGUCUCCUGAGUGUGUCGCCCCAGUGCCCACACUCUUCCACCAGCAGUGAGAUAAAGGACAGUAUCAAUACCAUUCCAUAUUACCUCUGUGUUGUAAUAAACUCUCUCA